Molecule: transfer RNA, 539 nt
Filed under: uncultured cyanobacterium
Lineage: Bacteria; Bacillati; Cyanobacteriota
Description: partial 16S-23S ribosomal RNA intergenic spacer
Rfam family: tRNA (bases 212-284)
Source: RNAcentral
CAGGGAGACAACAAAAUGUUUAAUAUUAAUUUUGUCACCUUAGGUCGAUCGGUAUCUCACAUUCUUAAUUUAUUAAGAAUUUUAUUUCCUAAGUUUUUUCUAGGUCACACCCAUUACUUUUCCCUGGGCCAUUAGCUCAGGUGGUUAGAGCGCACCCCUGAUAAGGGUGAGGUCCCUGGUUCAAGUCCAGGAUGGCCCAUAUCUCUAUGUUGGGGGUAUAGCUCAGUUGGUAGAGCGCCUGCUUUGCAAGCAGGAUGUCAGCGGUUCGAGUCCGCUUACCUCCACUGAUUACCACCUCUUCCAUAAUCUUUUAAAGGAAAUGUUUUGAGUUGUGAUCAAAUUCUGAACGAAUCUAGCUUCCUAAUGAAUUCAUUAAGAUGCUGGACUCAUUGAAUUAAUUUCAUUGUUUUCAGAGAACCUUGACAACUGCAUAGAUUAUUUUUAAAGACAAUAAGCAUCUUUAAUGAUGCAGAUUUAUUAUUUGUGCGAAUGCAUUAAUAACAAUUCUAUUAAGCUGAUGCUUCAAUUUUGAAGUUAUU